GAUGAACGCUGGCGGCGUGCCUAAUACAUGCAAGUCGAGCGAACAGACGAGGAGCUUGCUCCUCUGACGUUAGCGGCGGACGGGUGAGUAACACGUGGAUAACCUACCUAUAAGACUGGGAUAACUUCGGGAAACCGGAGCUAAUACCGGAUAAUAUAUUGAACCGCAUGGUUCAAUAGUGAAAGACGGUUUUGCUGUCACUUAUAGAUGGAUCCGCGCCGCAUUAGCUAGUUGGUAAGGUAACGGCUUACCAAGGCGACGAUGCGUAGCCGACCUGAGAGGGUGUUCGGCCACACUGGAACUGAGAGACGGGCCAGACUCCUACGGGAGGCAGCAGUAGGGAAUCUUCCGUAAUGGGCGAAAGCUUGACGGAGCAACGCCGCGUGAGUUAUGAAGGUCUUCAGAUCGUAAAACUCUGUUAUUAGGGAAGAACAAAUGUGUAAGUAGCUAUGCACGUCUUGACGGUACCUAAUCAGAAAGCCACGGCUAACUACGUG
RNAcentral lists this ribosomal RNA (497 nucleotides) under uncultured bacterium. Its description in RNAcentral is "partial 16S ribosomal RNA". It matches the Rfam family "Bacterial small subunit ribosomal RNA", at positions 28 to 507 of the family's 1533-position model. The record is from RNAcentral.